Small nuclear RNA from Myodes glareolus (Bank vole), 108 nucleotides. The record is from RefSeq and is a predicted model, not a curated record. NCBI's taxonomy places the organism in Eukaryota, Metazoa, Chordata, Mammalia, Rodentia, Cricetidae.
GUGCUCCCUUUGGCAGCAUAUACACAUAAAAUUGGAAUGAUACAGAGAAGAUCAGUAUGGACCCUGUGCAGGUAUGAUACGCAAAUUUGUGAAGUGAUCCAUAGUUAU